GGCAUUUCCCUACCAUUGGGCUGGCGCUGCUGUGGCGGUGAGAGCCAGGCUGUUCUGCUGGUGGUAGUGGCAGAGAGGAAGCCUCAGUGACGUAGACCUAAAUUGUUUGUCUGCUGUGGACCCCACUGAGAGGCUGUGCUCACCCUGUACCCCACAUCGCAAGGCUCCUGAGCUGUGAGGGAAGUCAGGUCUCCUAGAGUGAGCACCCCCAAAAGGAAAUGACAGGCACGAGGGAAUCUGAAAAGUCCAAGGCCAAAUUGCUGGACAAGUCUGUCCCCUGUGAGAGCCCUGUUCCUGGCUUACAGAUAACAGCUUCUCAGUUUUCUCAAGGUAUGAGAUGGAGGCACAAGGAAAGGGCAAACUGGUGUUUCUUCUUGUAGGCAUUAAUUCCAUCAUGAGGACUUCACCCUUAGGAUUUCUUCUAAACCUAAUUAACUUCCCAA
Long non-coding RNA from Chinchilla lanigera (long-tailed chinchilla), 443 nucleotides. RefSeq lists it as uncharacterized. The transcript is spliced from 3 exons. The record is from RefSeq and is a predicted model, not a curated record. Lineage: Eukaryota; Metazoa; Chordata; Mammalia; Rodentia; Chinchillidae.